GACAUGCAGAGAACUUCCAGAGAUGGAUUGGUGCCUUCGGGAACGUCUGACACAGGUGCUGCAUGGCUGUCGUCAGCUCGUGCCGUGAGAUGUUGGGUUAAGUCCGUAACGAGCGCAACCCUUGUCCUUAGUUACCAGCACGUUAUGGUGGGCACUCUAAGGAGACUGCCGGUGACAAACCGGAGGAAGGUGGGGAUGACGUCAAGUCAUCAUGGCCCUUACGGCCUGGGCUACACACGUGCUACAAUGGUCGGUACAAAGGGUUGCCAAGCCGCGAGGUGAGCUAAUCCCAUAAAACCGAUCGUAGUCCGGAUCGCAGUCUGCAACUCGACUGCGUGAAGUCGGAAUCGCUAGUAAUCGUGAAUCAGAAUGUCACGGUGAAUACGUUCCCGGGCCUU
RNAcentral lists this ribosomal RNA (398 nucleotides) under uncultured Pseudomonas sp. RNAcentral's name for it is "bacterial SSU rRNA". It matches the Rfam family "Bacterial small subunit ribosomal RNA", at positions 983 to 1382 of the family's 1533-position model. Lineage: Bacteria; Pseudomonadati; Pseudomonadota; Gammaproteobacteria; Pseudomonadales; Pseudomonadaceae. The record is from RNAcentral.